UUAGAUUAGCUAGUUGGUAAGGUAAUGGCUUACCAAGGCUAUGAUCUAUAGCUGGUCUGAGAGGACGAUCAGCCACACUGGAACUGAGAUACGGUCCAGACUCCUACGGGAGGCAGCAGUGGGGAAUAUUGGACAAUGGGCGAAAGCCUGAUCCAGCUAUGCCGCGUGAGUGAAGAAGGCCUUCUGGUUGUAAAACUCUUUCAAUAGGGAAGAUAAUGACGGUACCUAUAGAAGAAGUCCCGGCAAACUCUGUGCCAGCAGCCGCGGUAAUACGGAGGGGGCAAGCGUUGUUCGGAAUUAUUGGGCGUAAAGGGCACGUAGGUGGACUAGUAAGUUAAAAGUGAAAUACCAAAGCUUAACUUUGGAGCGGCUUUUAAUACUGCUAGACUAGAGGUCGAAAGAGG
This 404-nucleotide ribosomal RNA is filed under the name Candidatus Ehrlichia regneryi. RNAcentral describes it as "bacterial SSU rRNA". It matches the Rfam family "Bacterial small subunit ribosomal RNA", at positions 236 to 657 of the family's 1533-position model. The record is from RNAcentral. Lineage: Bacteria; Pseudomonadati; Pseudomonadota; Alphaproteobacteria; Rickettsiales; Anaplasmataceae.